This 497-nucleotide ribosomal RNA is filed under the name uncultured bacterium. Its description in RNAcentral is "partial 16S ribosomal RNA". It matches the Rfam family "Bacterial small subunit ribosomal RNA", at positions 28 to 507 of the family's 1533-position model. The record is from RNAcentral.
GACGAACGCUGGCGGCGUGCCUAAUACAUGCAAGUUGAGCGCUGAAGGUUGGUCCUUGUACCAACUGGAUGAGCAGCGAACGGGUGAGUAACGCGUGGGGAAUCUGCCUUUGAGCGGGGGACAACAUUUGGAAACGAAUGCUAAUACCGCAUAAAAACUUUAAACACAAGUUUUAAGUUUGAAAGAUGCAAUUGCAUCACUCAAAGAUGAUCCCGCGUUGUAUUAGCUAGUUGGUGAGGUAAAGGCUCACCAAGGCGAUGAUACAUAGCCGACCUGAGAGGGUGAUCGGCCACAUUGGGACUGAGACACGGCCCAAACUCCUACGGGAGGCAGCAGUAGGGAAUCUUCGGCAAUGGACGAAAGUCUGACCGAGCAACGCCGCGUGAGUGAAGAAGGUUGUCGGAUCGUAAAACUCUGUUGGUAGAGAAGAACGUUGGUGAGAGUGGAAAGCUCAUCAAGUGACGGUAACUACACAGAAAGGGACGGCUAACUACGUG